RNAcentral lists this ribosomal RNA (493 nucleotides) under uncultured bacterium. Its description in RNAcentral is "partial 16S ribosomal RNA". It matches the Rfam family "Bacterial small subunit ribosomal RNA", at positions 28 to 506 of the family's 1533-position model. The record is from RNAcentral.
GACGAACGCUGGCGGCGUGCUUAACACAUGCAAGUCGAACGGAAAGGCCUGCCUUCCCUUGUGGAUUGCGGGUACUCGAGUGGCGAACGGGUGAGUAACACGUGAGUGAUCUGCCCCCAACUUGGGUAUAAGCCUGGGAAACUGGGUCUAAUUCCCGAUAGGACUGCAGGGUGGUGCCUGUGGUGGAAAACGAUUUUCUAGUGGUUGGGGAUGAGCUCGCGGCCUAUCAGCUUGUUGGUGGGGUAAUGGCCUACCAAGGCGGCGACGGGUAGCCGGCCUGAGAGGGUGGACGGCCACAUUGGGACUGAGAUACGGCCCAGACUCCUACGGGAGGCAGCAGUGGGGAAGAUUGCACAAUGGGCGGAAGCCUGAUGCAGCGACGCCGCGUGGGGGAUGACGGCCUUCGGGUUGUAAACUCCUUUCGACCGCGAGGAAGCCACCUGGUUGGAAGGGUGGUGACGGUAGUGGUAGAAGAAGCACCGGCUAACUACGU